RNAcentral lists this transfer RNA (88 nucleotides) under Phakopsora pachyrhizi. RNAcentral's name for it is "tRNA-Ile". It matches the Rfam family "tRNA". From Rfam's summary of the family: Transfer RNA (tRNA) molecules are approximately 80 nucleotides in length. Their secondary structure includes four short double-helical elements and three loops (D, anti-codon, and T loops). The record is from RNAcentral. Lineage: Eukaryota; Fungi; Basidiomycota; Pucciniomycetes; Pucciniales; Phakopsoraceae.
GGUCGAUUAGCUCAGUUGGUUAGAGCGCCGUACUAAUACAAUGUGUUACGACAUGCGGAUGUCAUGGGUUCGACCCCCAUAUUGACCA